This 748-nucleotide ribosomal RNA is filed under the name uncultured bacterium. RNAcentral describes it as "bacterial SSU rRNA". It matches the Rfam family "Bacterial small subunit ribosomal RNA", at positions 56 to 787 of the family's 1533-position model. The record is from RNAcentral.
UGCAAGUCGCACGAGAACGCUCCGGCUUCGGCCGGGGCAAGUACAGUGGCGGACGGGUGCGUAUCGCGUAGAUAACCUGCCCUUAGGCGCGGGACAAUCACGGGAAACCGUGGCUAAUACCGCACGUCGUCUGGGCCCCGCAUGGGGACCAGAUGAAAGCUUGGGGUUACCCAGGCGCCUUGGGAUGGGUCUGCGUUGGAUUAGCUUGUUGGUGAGGCAACGGCUCACCAAGGCAACGAUCCAUAGCUGGUCUGAGAGGACGAUCAGCCACACUGGGACUGAGACACGGCCCAGACUCCUACGGGAGGCAGCAGUGGGGAAUCUUGCACAAUGGGGUCACCCCUGAUGCAGCCAUGCCGCGUGGAGGAAGACACCCCUAUGGGGCGUAAACUCCUUUUCUGAAUGAAGAAACCCCUGUAGGUUCAGGGCGCGACGGUAGUUCAGGAAUAAGCACCGGCUAACUCCGUGCCAGCAGCCGCGGUAAUACGGAGGGUGCAAGCGUUGUCCGGAAUCACUGGGUGUAAAGGGUGUGCAGGCGGGGCAACAAGUCGGAUGUGAAACCCCAUGGCUCAACCAUGGAGGUGCAUUCGAAACUGUUGCUCUUGAGUCCCGGAGAGGCUGUCGGAAUUCGUGGUGUAGCGGUGAAAUGCGUAGAUAUCACGAGGAACACCAGAGGCGAAAGCGGGCAGCUGGACGGGUACUGACGCUCAGGCACGAAAGCGUGGGGAGCAAACAGGAUUAGAUACCC